Lactuca sativa (garden lettuce) is the source of this 1917-nucleotide long non-coding RNA. RefSeq lists it as uncharacterized. The record is from RefSeq and is a predicted model, not a curated record. Lineage: Eukaryota; Viridiplantae; Streptophyta; Magnoliopsida; Asterales; Asteraceae.
UUGUCAAAUGUAAAACCACAUCCUAAUAAGAAAGCCCAAAAAAAAAGUUCCAACCCAUGCGGGCUAGCUUUCUAUUUAUCAUUACAUGCCGACUGAGAUGGCGAAAGGGAGAUGGAUUAGGGAUAUGACUAAUUGAAGCAUCGAGAAAGCUAAAAUAUAAAAAAUAUGAGAGCCGGAGGAGACAACCUAGAAUGGGAAAGGAGACUGAAGAAUGGAACAGGUUGAAUGCGACAGUGGGUGGUCGGCGCUGUCAAAGACCUUUGAUACUUUGAGCUGAAAAAUCGAUGGUUAUGGGAUUUUUAUGAUCCGUUCCUUGAGGCUUCUAAUGGAGAGUGACAAUUGUUGUUUACUCCGGGGAUUUAAAUAGGUUAGUUGGGUUCCGAUUAAAAUUAAUUAUUUUAUUUGACAUGUGAUUUCCAAUAAGGUUCCAGUGGCUAAAAAUCUUGUUAAUGGAGGUGUUAAUUUGGUGUUGUUGACUUGUUCUGUCUGUUACUUGAAUGAUGAGGAGGUGGAUCAUAUUUUCUUCAAAUGUAACUUUUCAACACAAAUUUGGAGUUGGUUUAUCACCUGGAGUGGGUUGUUAGCUUCGAUUCCUGGGGAUAGACUGGAAUUGCUUACGAUGUUGGCAACCCCAGUUUCUGAUAAAAAGAAGAAAAAACUCAAACUUACCCUCAUUUACUCUGUGAUUUGGUUAAUCUGGAAAGCACGAAAUUCUUUGAUGUUCAACAAAGAGAGAUGAGAUCCCUUACGAAUUGGCGGAUGAUAUCCAGUUAGUUUCAUUUAAUUGGAUUAAACAUAGAUCUUCUUUUAAUUUCAUUAAUUGGUUUGUGUGGUGUAUUGACCCUUGUAAUACAUGUACUCUGUAAUUUUGUCUAUCGCCUUGCUAAUUUUUUUAAUACAUUCGAGGUUCAAAAAAAAUUAAAAUCAAGUUUAUAAUCAAUAUUUUUUUGGAACCGACAAACAUAUUAAAAAGGGGCCACCAUCUAACAAGUGGCUAGAUGGGGUAGAAAAAGAAACAAGAACAAUACAAAGUUUUACAAGGAGAUGAAUGGGCUAAUACACCACUAAAUCCAUAUAUAACAACAUUUUUUUCCGCCUAUGUUUAAUCCAUGUGUACACAAUGGAUUUUGCGUUAUAAGCCACCUUGGUUGGGGACAUGCGGAUUGUUCUGAAUACCAAAUCGCACCUUGCUUUCCAGAUCAGCCAUAAUGCUCGUAACAAAUGAUGUGAAGAUUGUUCCUUUUUUCUGAAAAUUCCCCCAGUUAUCCACGAAUGUAAUUAAAUCUACCACAUUGCUAAGUUGAGGAACUAGGAUAUCACACCAUUUGAAUAUCCAAUGCCAUAUAGUGGCUGCAAAAGAGCAUCGAAUCAGGGCGUGAUCUACAUCGUCAUUUUCAAUCAAACAUUGCCUGUAUAGUGGGGAUUCGACAGGUACACCACGUUUUAAUAGAGAACAUGCAGUUGGAAUGCAUCCCAAAUUCACUCUCCAUACAAAGAAGUCAACCAUGAUUGGAACAUCAUGCGUCUAUUUAAUUACCACGCCAUCUGCCAUUUGUUGUAAACUAUCGAUCAUGCUUCUUAAUGAAUCUACAUGGUAAAUGCCAUCCUCUGAAAUAUUACACUUUCGAUCAUCAACCUGAGAUUGGCUGGAAAUUUCCAAGUCUAGAUGUCAACACAUUUAAAUCUCGAAUAUGCUCCAUAGAACUUAGAGUCGCUUUCCACUUCCAAUUGAGACCAUCAGUCUUGAUUCUUUCAUUGACUCUACAUAUUUUACAUUUCUCCAUUUGAUACAGGUCUGGAAAUGCAUUUUUGAGAGUGUCAUUGCCACACCAAUUGUCAAGACAGAACAUAAUGUCAUCUCCCGAUUUGACCUUUUUUAUAACAUCUUCAAUAUUAAUACCCGAUUUGAAUAUAUCA